RNAcentral lists this ribosomal RNA (302 nucleotides) under uncultured bacterium. RNAcentral's name for it is "partial 16S ribosomal RNA". It matches the Rfam family "Bacterial small subunit ribosomal RNA", at positions 508 to 808 of the family's 1533-position model. The record is from RNAcentral.
GCAGUAGCCACGGUAAUACGUAGGUCCCGAGCGUUGUCCGGAUUUAUUGGGCGUAAAGCGAGCGCAGGCGGUUAGAUAAGUCUGAAGUUAAAGGCUGUGGCUUAACCAUAGUACGCUUUGGAAACUGUUUAACUUGAGUGCAAGAGGGGAGAGUGGAAUUCCAUGUGUAGCGGUGAAAUGCGUAGAUAUAUGGAGGAACACCGGUGGCGAAAGCGGCUCUCUGGCUUGUAACUGACGCUGAGGCUCGAAAGCGUGGGGAGCAAACAGGAUUAGAUACCCCUGUAGUCCCUGUCUCUUAUACA